CAAAUGGUGGUAUUUACCACCACUUAAAAAUAAAAAGUAUAUCAUU
Non-coding RNA from Mesitornis unicolor (brown roatelo), 46 nucleotides. The record is from Rfam. NCBI's taxonomy places the organism in Eukaryota, Metazoa, Chordata, Aves, Mesitornithiformes, Mesitornithidae.